CGGAGCAGCCACGGCGCAAACUCUCUACCUUUCCGCGCAGGACCGACGGCGGCGUCGGCGGCGCAGCGAGUGGAGCGACGGCGUCUCCCGCCGGCCACGUGCGUCGCUGGGUGGGGCAGCGGGCGGUGAGCAGCUCGCCGCAAAGCUCUGUUUCCGGGGAGGAGCUGCGUCGGAGCUUGCCGCAAACUCUGUUUCUGGGGUGGCGCAGCGGCAGCGUCGUCUUGGUGCGGUGGCGACUCCGUGAGGCCUCCGGUGCAAGCCCAGGUUUGUCAUGUCGACGUUCGCCGGUGUAUCCGUCCUCGACGGCGACAAGCCGUGCUCUUGCGUAACGUCGGGCGUCGGCGCCGGUGCUGGCGCGAGCAGCGUGUACCACCUGCUCGUGGUCAAGGGCUACUCUGGUAUCAAAAAGGAGCUGCCCAACGGCGAGAGCUGGUGCACUGAAUUGUUCAGGGUGGAAGGCCAUGAGUAUUCCAUCGAGUACUAUCCUAAUGGCGCAAACCCCAACUGUGCCGACUUCAUUUCGCUCGAUAUUACCCGCCUCUACGACGAAGAUGUCGAAGAGGGUGUGGAGGCCAAGUUCAGUUUCAGCCUCGUCGACGACGUCGAGAAGCAGAUGCCGACGUACAUUCGUGCGACUCGUAAAACCCGUGACUUCCGCAGAUGUGAUCCUUGUUGGGGUUGCGACAAGUUCAUGAGAAGAGAUGCCCUUGAGCGAUCGGCCAGUCUAAAGUCUGAUUGUUUCACCAUCCGGUGUGAUAUUGUGGUGUGCAAGGACAACACCCCAGACGCCACCGGCUCCGGCACCAGCACCGGCACCGAGGUUCUUCUGCCUGACAUACACCAACAUUUUAGCAACCUCCUUCAGAAUAAGGUGGGUGCUGAUGUGACAUUCGAGGUCGGCGGCGAGACGUUCGCUGCACACCGGUGUGUGCUCGCUGCCAGGUCCGAAGUGUUCAUGGUGCAGCUCUUUGGCACCGCUAUGCCCAGCGUCAUACAGAUCACAGAUAUGGAAGCAAAAGUGUUCAGGGCUUUGCUUUGCUUCAUCUACACAGACUCGUGUCCUGAGAUGGAGAAGAACAGCAUGGAGGAGGAUGAAAUGCCAGGAGUUGUGGAACAAGGACAAGUAGAGGAAGUACUGGAGAAUAAAACGUCAGAAGUUGUGGAACAAACACAAGAAGAGGCGGUAGAGGAUGAAAUUCUUCUGCAAUGGCUGCAGGAUUUGUUUGUGGCGGCAGACAGAUACAAUCUCCAGCGGCUCAAGUUCAUCUGUGAAAAGCAGUUGUGUGAGCAUGUAGGUGUGAGCUCGGUGGCGUCCACUCUUGCUCUAGCCGAGCAGCACCACUGCCAUGGAUUGAAGGCGGCGUGCUUGAAGUUUAUCCAAGUCCUAUCUCCCUCGCGUUUGCAGGCACUAAUGGCAACUGAUGGAUGGGGGCAUAUAGCAACGACAUACCCCUCUGUUUUGUACGAGCUCAUUGCCAUCCUUGCGUCAAACCAGCGGAAAUGACACUCUGGUAUGCAUGUUCUUCAAGUGACACUCUUUUGUAUCCUCUAUAGAUAUCGUAGUUUGUGUGCUCUGCUUUUAAUUGUCUCCUCGUGUAAUUUGCAUGAAUGCUGAAUCAGAAAACCCCAACAUAUGGGCAUAUUGUCUCUUCAUGCAAUUGCAAUGGAUGGUCUGUAAAUUCAGUGUACCUUUGUGCCUCCCCUGUCAUUUAAUACCCUUUUCUAGUGGUUAUCAAGAAGAACAAAUGUUUGAAGUUUUUUGGAAAGGGAUUUUUAUGAACCUGAAUUUAGUGGAAACAAACAAGAUUGAAGACAAGACAGGUCACCAAGAAUUUCGGUUGCCGUGACAGGCGUGGUGUGAAAUCUUGAUCCUGUACCAAAAAAAUGACUUCUCCUUUAUGCUUGUUGUUCUCCUCAGAUGGGACAAAAAAAUGACUUCCGUUGUGGUGUAUUUGGAAGCACAGAUGAUGAUUGAUUGCUGUCAGUUAGCUACUGUAAUAGACAAUGAGUUGAUGAUGAAAAAACCCGCUUGCUUUGCCA
This is an RNA transcript of Triticum aestivum (bread wheat), 2040 nucleotides long. It is a transcript of the gene named BTB/POZ and MATH domain-containing protein 1, with no coding region annotated. The record is from RefSeq and is a predicted model, not a curated record. Lineage: Eukaryota; Viridiplantae; Streptophyta; Magnoliopsida; Poales; Poaceae. The transcript is spliced from 3 exons.